GGGAAGAGUUGGGUUAACAGGAUCUGAAGUUGAAGCUGCCCCAAGGCUCGCCUGGCCCCAUGCCUUUACUGGGGAGCUUCCAGCCCUUGUCAAGCAUGUUCAUGGUUUUAGACAAGGAACAAACUGCACUCCUCCUCCAUACAUCAGGCCUGAGGGAAAGCCUUGGAUCAGCCUGGCUCCCACUCGGCAUCAAACCGAAGAUGGCGUUGAACUUCUGAUGCUUCUGCUUCCACCUCCUAAGUGCUAGGGUAUGAACAUGCAUCCCAUCCCAGAAAGGAGACCCCAGUUGCCCCCUUACCCAUCAUGAGGAGGAUCAAGAGCACGUUACUGAUCUGCUGUAGCACAGGUGGACCCACGACCAGCAGCAACCCAGCCAGCAGUUCCAGCCAGCCCACAGCUGCUUGGUAGCUUAUAGGAUCUGGCUGGUAGCCCAACACCUUCAACGGGAACACCUCAGCAAACUGCUCGAACAAGGCUUUCUAUGGGUAGUAGGGAAUGCCUGUCAGUACCACUCAUCAAAAAAUGCAGUGCCUGAAGGCAUAACAGAGACCUCUGCCUGUAACUGGCUCCCCUAACAAAACUACUACAAGUUGA
Non-coding RNA from Rattus norvegicus (Norway rat), 594 nucleotides. The record is from RefSeq and is a predicted model, not a curated record. Lineage: Eukaryota; Metazoa; Chordata; Mammalia; Rodentia; Muridae.